CUGAACUCUGCAGGUGGAUGGCUCUGGGAAUCCCUGAGGGUGGGGAGGCGGUGGGAAGGUGCCUCCAGCAUCCCCAGGCAGGGUGGAUGAGGCUCCCAGCUCUCCUGGAGGAUCUGCAGCAUCUCUUUUGCACAAUCAGCACUUUUGUUGGUCUUAAUGGAGCCACUUCUUGUGGAAAACACUGGAAAGGCUUCACGUGGAACUGAGUAAUUUCUAUUCCAGGCCAUGGAGGAGAGAGUACAGCCCACCCUGCCUGCUGCUUGUGAUCUGAUGUGAAAAUAACUCUGCUGGUGUGGUGUGAAUGCAGUGUGGUGUUUCCCACACAGAUGGGCCCAACCCAAAGGCUUUUUCCCCCAAAUUUUGUAAAGUUCAAAGGAGGCUGGAACCAAAGUGCUUCCCUUAACAGUCUAAUUUUGUGUUUUAGUUGCCAUGGAAGUGGCAAAAUUGACUUUAUCAAAUGAAUGCUCUUUGCCAUGACAUUCAAUCAGUUUCAUGCCUUUUGCAAUGGCUUCCUUGUGCUGUUGGUAAAAAUAAUGUUGCUUUUCCAGUAUGUCAUGUAAAGUGAUUUCAGCUGUGUUUUUUCCACUCCUGACCUCUGCAAUGUUUGCAUUUCAGACAGUUUUAUACAUUUAUUGAUUACAUGAGGUACUGUUCUAAUUUCCAGGAAGUAAGAACAUAGCCCUUAAAUCAUCCAGACUCUGAAAUAUUUUAAUUUCCUCAAGUAAAUAGAGCAUGUUUUGCCAGGAAUCUUAAAUGUAUGAUACAUGGAUUUGAUUCCACUUUCACACAGGUCUUGUGUGACUCCCUUCACUUCAGUGAAAUUACUCCUGAUUAGCAUUGAGAAACAGGUCCAGAAUAUGGGGAGGGGAGUGGGUUAAUGCCAUUUUUUCUGACACUGAGUGCUCUAAAAGCACUCUGAGACUGUAAACCAUUACCAUUUCUCAGUAAGUGCCCUCUGAGAGGACUGGGGAGGAUUGAGGAGUUUUUAACCAGUAAGUCACCUCAGUUCUCUCACAAAAGAGUGGAGAUUUAGCCUUUUCCAUCUCGUGGCUGUCUGGUGAUUACGUGGAGUCAGAAAACUGGUGAUCUUCAGUGUCAUCUGCUGAGACCACAACUGCUGCCAUUGGGUUAAUUCCCUUCCUGGCAGCUUGAAAGCACAGGUCUAGUCCUCUUCCCAGGCUUUGCAAGUUUUCCUGUCAACCAGGA
This 1206-nucleotide long non-coding RNA is filed under the name Parus major (Great Tit). RNAcentral describes it as "lncRNA (ENSPMJG00000006525.1)". The record is from RNAcentral. Lineage: Eukaryota; Metazoa; Chordata; Aves; Passeriformes; Paridae.